ACGUAGGGCGCAAGCGUUGUCCGGAAUUACUGGGCGUAAAGGGCGCGUAGGCGGGAUGGCAAGUCGGUCGUGAAAUCCUUCGGCUCAACCGAAGAACGUCGAUCGAUACUGCUGUUCUAGAGGAUUGCAGAGGAGACUGGAAUUCCCGGUGUAGCGGUGAAAUGUGUAGAGAUCUGGAGGAAUACCGGUGGCGAAGGCGGCCCCCUGGACAAAGACUGACGCUCAGGUGCGAAAGCGUGGGGAGCAAACAGGA
This 253-nucleotide ribosomal RNA is filed under the name uncultured prokaryote. Its description in RNAcentral is "partial 16S ribosomal RNA". It matches the Rfam family "Bacterial small subunit ribosomal RNA", at positions 525 to 777 of the family's 1533-position model. The record is from RNAcentral.